GCGCCGGUAGCUCAAUGGAUAGAGUGUUGGCCUCCGGAGCCAAAGGUUGCAGGUUCGACCCCUGUCCGGCGUA
RNAcentral lists this transfer RNA (73 nucleotides) under bacterium. RNAcentral describes it as "tRNA-Arg". It matches the Rfam family "tRNA". Rfam says of the family: Transfer RNA (tRNA) molecules are approximately 80 nucleotides in length. Their secondary structure includes four short double-helical elements and three loops (D, anti-codon, and T loops). The record is from RNAcentral.